This 292-nucleotide ribosomal RNA is filed under the name uncultured bacterium. RNAcentral describes it as "partial 16S ribosomal RNA". It matches the Rfam family "Bacterial small subunit ribosomal RNA", at positions 505 to 796 of the family's 1533-position model. The record is from RNAcentral.
GUGCCAGCAGCCGCGGUAAUACGAAGGGUGCAAGCGUUAUUCGGAAUCACUGGGCGUAAAGGGUGCGUAGACGGUAGGUUAAGUUCGUUGUUAAAGGCUCCGGCCUAACUGGAGUAUUGCAAUGAAAACUGGUCUGCUAGAGGGUGAGAGAGAGAAGUGGAAUUCCCGGAGUAGCGGUAAAAUGCGUGGAUCUCGGGAGGAACACCAAUGGCGAAGGCAGCUUCUUGGCUCAUUCCUGACGUUGAGGCACGAAAGCGUGGGGAGCAAACAGGAUUAGAUACCCGCGUAGUCC